GAUCUCCUGUGAUGUGCGUUAACUUCCUAUAUGUUCAACCUAUGCAAUAUGUUCGGGAUUCCGGUGUUAAAGAAAAUGUUAAGCCCUCGUGGAAGGGACAACAAACACUUUAGUCAGGAUGCCCACCUGCGAAGAGCGGGCUUUGAACAUAUGGAAGGACGGUAUUACGGGUUCUUA
This 177-nucleotide non-coding RNA is filed under the name Sporomusaceae bacterium. Its description in RNAcentral is "6S RNA". It matches the Rfam family "6S / SsrS RNA". From Rfam's summary of the family: E. coli 6S RNA was the first non coding RNA to be sequenced, but its function was unknown until recently. It consists of 184 nucleotides that fold into an extended hairpin structure with a large single-stranded internal bulge. The record is from RNAcentral. Lineage: Bacteria; Bacillati; Bacillota; Negativicutes; Selenomonadales; Sporomusaceae.